Molecule: long non-coding RNA, 549 nt
Organism: Fukomys damarensis (Damara mole-rat)
Lineage: Eukaryota; Metazoa; Chordata; Mammalia; Rodentia; Bathyergidae
Exons: 3
Source: RefSeq, a predicted model, not a curated record
GAAUCUUCCCAAAAGAGUCAAAGUCAUCAGUGAUUUUCUUGACUAGCAAGCCAACUCUGGAGGCCCAACCUGACUUACCACGGGCCACAGCCCUGUGCAUCCAUCUCACUCUCCAUGCCCCACAUACUUUGAAGAGUUGGUUUUAAAUGUAAAGCCUGCACUUCCAGAGACCCUCGUAUGCCUGCCCCCUUGCAUUAAGAAGUCUUAGCCAUGCCCAAAUAGAUAACCAGAACCAAAGUGAGACGCACGUGUCACACAGUGAGGUACCUUUGACCAAAAACACCUACGGUGGACCUGACAGUAGCUCUCAGCACACCCAUUCCCACUUUUCUUCAACUUAUUCAGCACAUCUGGAGGAAUCAACUGUCCACAGAUGAACCCCCUCAGUUAUGAGAAGCACUUCGAUUCUACAAAUGAUUUUGUUUUGGCCAAGAAAAACAAAGUUGGAGACUAUGAAUCCUACUAUAAAUAAAGCAAUGACUAUCAUUAGGGCCAUAUUAUAUCCACGUCUCUGUUCCAUCUCCAGAACUUGGCAAAAAUAAGCUAUAA